RNAcentral lists this transfer RNA (75 nucleotides) under Pseudoalteromonas rubra. RNAcentral describes it as "tRNA-Gln". It matches the Rfam family "tRNA". From Rfam's summary of the family: Transfer RNA (tRNA) molecules are approximately 80 nucleotides in length. Their secondary structure includes four short double-helical elements and three loops (D, anti-codon, and T loops). Lineage: Bacteria; Pseudomonadati; Pseudomonadota; Gammaproteobacteria; Alteromonadales; Pseudoalteromonadaceae. The record is from RNAcentral.
UGGAGUAUCGCCAAGCGGUAAGGCAGCGGGUUUUGACCCCGCCAUUCCCAGGUUCAAAUCCUGGUACUCCAGCCA